Molecule: long non-coding RNA, 13194 nt
Filed under: Citrus x clementina
Lineage: Eukaryota; Viridiplantae; Streptophyta; Magnoliopsida; Sapindales; Rutaceae
Description: Citrus clementina (C. clementina) long non-coding RNA (CCLE_LNC005430)
Source: RNAcentral
GCUAUCAAAUUAGGGGGGGAGGCCCCCUUUUUAUGGAUACAUUGAGUAAAUCAUGGCCAUUGGAAUAAAAACAGUUUGAACGCACAGGAUUGCGCCACGUCAUCAGUCAACAGUACGCGGUUUAACCAUGCGGUUUGAACAGUGACACGGUUUGACCCGGCUUGAACAGUAACGCGGUUUGGUUGAAAAUAAUCCUGUGUAUGUGCAUGUACCAUACGCGUAAUUUUUGGUCCACUAACAUGCUGCCACGUCACCAAUCAACAGUGCAUAAGAAUUUUAGUCCAACAGGUUCGUGACACCUCAUCAGUCAAUGCCACAUCAUCGAUCAAUGCCACGUCAUCGAUCCGUCUAUGUGAACAGUAACGGUACUAACCUUAUCACGCUGUUAAAACAUUUCUAUAAAAACACUAAAACAAAUACGUGAAAUAAAUUAACUAAAAAUAAAUUAAUAAGAUAAAUAAAAUUACAAAGAAAAAUAACUUGAAAAUUAAAUUACAAAACUUUAAAGAAGAGAAAAAGAAAAGAAAUUCUUACCUCUAAAUGUAGAUUCACUUUUUUUUUUAUAUAACAAAAAAUUACAAGAAAACAAUUAAAAGAAAUUAUUCACAAAAAUUAAUUUUACGAAUUAAAAUAACUUACCUCCCCGGCAACGACGCCAAAAACUUGUUGUGCAAAUUUUAUUGAACUCGCAAGUGCACGAAUCUAUUGUAGAAUAGAUUAAUGGUGACGAGUGUUGAUCCCACGAGGAGGUGGAUUUUAAUUAUAUGUAAAAUUAAUUUUGUAUUAGGGUGGUUGGAUUUGUGGCGAAAGUGACUUAGAUUAUCCUAAAAUUGAAAUUGAAAUGGCGAGAAUAAAUUAAAGAAAAAUCUAUUGAAAUGAAACACUCGGGUAUUUGGAUCCGUAUCAACAUGCACCCUGCGCUAAAUAUUCCUUAUUAGUGCCAAUUAAAUCAUUGGGGGGGGGGGGAAUCCACACUUCAUGAACCAUACUCUAAUCAAUAUGGUGCUUAGGGCUUAUCGUGCCAAAUAAUAAUAACCUUGUAUUAAGGAGCUGGUGAAAUUAGGGCGGUAUAUAGACAAGAUUAUUAUUAUUUGUCGACGAGAAGUCAAAACAUCCAUAAAAACUAGGGGGGAAGAGAAAGUAAAUUUACCAAUUAAAGCCCAUGACACAUGUUGAGACUUCACAUUCAACCCAAGCUUGAAAGAAAAUUAGCUACUCGUAAUUGAACUAGGGGCAAAAUGAGAAUUUAUUAAAAUACGUAGAAAAUACAAGAAGAAGAAGGAAUUACAGAAAAUGGAGCCUAAAAAUAGAUUAAGAGAUGCCAAAUUAGUGGGGCGAGGUCCCUUUUUUAUAGAUACAUUGAGUAAAUUAUGACCAUUGGAUUAAAAACAGUUUGGACGCUCAGUAUUGCCCCACGUCAUCAGUCAACAGUACGCGGUUUGACCACGUGGUUUGAAUAGUGACACGGUUUGACUACGCGGUUUGAACAGUCAAUCGGUUUGAACAAUGACGCGGUUUAUUUGAAAAUAAUCCUGUGUAUAUGCAUGUACUGUACACGCGAUUUUUGGUCCACUGAUAUGCUGUCACGUCAUCAAUCAGUAGUGCAUAAGAAUUUUCUCCAAUGGAAUCGUGACACCUCAUCAGUCAAUGCCACAUCAUCGGUCAAUGCCACAUCAUCGAUCCGUCUAUGUGAACAGUGUCGUGAACAGUAACGUAGACAAUACCGUACAUGUAAAUAGUAUCGUAUAUGUAAACAGUGACAUUUUUUCUUUUAUGCUCCUCCUAAGGUUUUCGACUGUCCUGAGUUCAAAAGUGAUGUCCGUUUUACCAUCUGAUUUCUCGUUCAUUGUGAAAUGACCAUAAUGCCCUUAAAUACAUAAAAUACUUAAUAUAAUAAAACACAUAUAAUUAAAUUAGAAGAAACUUAAAUACAUAAAAGUAAGGGUGUUAGUAAGACUUGAAAUGUAAAAUGACGAUUUUUUCCUUUAUAAAUAUAUAUUUUCUAACACUCAACACACCCCCCAACUAGCUUAUUGUUAGUCCCUAGCAAAUAAAGCGAAAUCAAAAAUCAAAUCCAAAAUGAUUUUUUUUUAGCAAUCAUGUUUAUUCAAUCAGACUAAUGAUAGUAAUCAAAUAAAAGUAUAAGUAUUAUCUCCAGUCUAAAGAAACAUCACACCCACAUGAACCAUCCAUAUGAAUAAGUCUAGUAGACUUUGUCACAGCUACUUUCAAGAAUAACAUGUUAAACCCCAAAAUCUCACUGGAAAUAGUGACACUCUCACAAAGAAAUUAAACUCAAUAAAAAUAGUCACUCCAAUGAAUGGUAAUUGAGAGAAAAUAAUAAAAAAGUGAUAUCACAUGCUCUCACCAAGAUGAAAGAAAUAUGCCCUCAGCUUAGAAAUAACACGAUCUCAAGUCAAAUAAAAAUACUAGUCAACCCAAUUUAUUUAUUUAUUUGUUUAUUAUUAUUAUUAUUUUUUUAUGCACUACUAAAUUUUUUUAGCCCAUAUAACUAACUUCUACUUCAGACUAUAAUUUCCUAAAAUCAAGAAGGACUUUUAUUAUAACGUAACAUAGGCUAGGGACAUGGCUAACAAAGGAGGGGAAAUAAGAAAAACAAAGUGUAUAUUUGAGAAAAAUGCACAGAUUUUUUUUUUUUGAAAGUUGCAAGGUGGAUUUCACCUAUUAUUGUUAUUUAUUUAUUUUUUAAAAAUAAUUUUUUUUUUUGCUUUUGUUUGGCACAACUUCACUGAACAAAAUAAUUAUUUACAUUUUUCUCAAACAUAAAUAAGUGAUGUAACUUGUAAGAUAAUUGGAGUGGGUCAAGAUGAUAAGUUUUGACAAAGAAAAUAUUUUUUUUUUUAAAGGCUCAAAAGGGUUAACUAUGGAUAUUUCACAAAAUGGAUGGCUAGAAAGGCUCAAACGGAUCAAAGAUGGUCUUUCCAUCGUCUUUUAGGGCUCUAAAUAAUCUUCCAUAUCUACUAGUUAGAUGGGUCUCCAGAUGUAGCAACACAUAUUUUUUUCUUCUUUUUUUUUUACAAUUUUUUUUAAGGGUUAACUCAAAAGAAAUCUAGAGAUCUUGUCUAAAAUAAUAAACUGCUAAGUUGUAUGAAGAAUGGGCAAAAGAGUUACUCUCCAAGAAAAAUGAUAGGCUCAAAGACUCACUGGGAAUCUAUUAUGACAUGUGCAUUCCUUCAAGCAACUCAUAUUUGUCUCCGACAUCAACAUGUAGAGUUAGCAAACAUGGCGUAACAUCACUUAAGACCAAAGAUAAUACAAAUACUAAAAUUUAAAAUUCAUCAUGUCAUCCAAUGUUAAAACAAAUCACACAAUUCUUUUUUAAAAAAAAAAACAUUCUACCCCCCAACCUAUUCUAAACAUGAAAGGAAAAUAUGCAUGCAGAAAUGUGAAAAUGAUGCAGAAAAACUAAUUAGAAAAGUUACACUUAAAAUGAUAGAAAAAGAAAAUAGUUUUUUUUUUACUAAGAAGAUGCGUUUCUAGAGGCACUACACUCCAUAUUCAGCCAUCUUCGACUCAAAAAUUUGAAAAUGUAUAUUUAUAAAUGAGAAAUUAAAAAGAAGAAGUAAAAAAAAAUGAAUAUCAAAACUUAAUAAAGAAAAAGAAAAUGUCUGGAAUUUUUUUUUAACGAAGAAGAUGCGUUUUUAGAGUAACUACACUCUAUAUUCAGCCAUCUUCAACACAAAAAGUUAGCAACAGUUAGUUUCUACAACAAAAAAUUAGUAAAAACUUAACCAAGAUUCUACAAUUGUCACCUAUUCCCUCCCCCCAACCAGAACGAAACAUUGUCCUAAAUGUUUUAAAAGAAAUAAGUAAAGUUUAGAAGACAUCACCUGGGUGGUGCAACACAGAAAAAAAUAUUUACAGGCGGAGAGUUAAAUCUAAUUUAUACUUCUUACUGCGGCUACUGUUACCAUCAUUAUUUGGACGCUCCAACACAAAGGUCCAGGGGUCUGGCUUCGGUUUAUAAGCUUGUAACAGAUCAAGUAGCUCAUUAGCAGUGUGAGCACAAAUAAAAAGCUUUUUCGCUGUGGGAGGAAUGAAAUAGUUUUUUAUUGCAUGGUUAAGAAAUGCGAUAAAGCCAUCAUAAAAAUAUUGACAUUUAACAAACCGAUGAGUUUCUGGUGAAUGUGCAGAUGGGCCCAAGAUGCUAAUGUGAUAAGUGCCUCUAGAGUUGUAAGAUCUUCUGAUAAGAAAAUAAAAGCAUCAGCAUGAUUAAGCAAUUAAGUUAUUCGUUCUUGCAUACCUGAGACAACUAACUCUUCUCCAGUCGGUGAGUCAGACAAACUGCCCAAAGGUUUUAGGGCUCUUGGGAUGAUGCUAUGCUUCGACCAAGAUUUAUGGCUGCCUCAACGAACUCUUUAUGUUUGCCAUAGUUAAAUCCAGAAAGCACACAAAUAUUCUUGAAUUGUCUAUUGGGAGUAGCUGCCAUUGAGAUACUUCUCAAAAAUAAUUUGUUAGUGCUUAACAAAAAGUCAUAUUUAAGAAUCUUGGUGACAGUGGGUCACAAUUGUGUAUGAGGUGGCAUGUCAGUGUCAAAUAACGCGUAAAGCACAUGGCUCGCGAGUCAAAAAGGAAACAGUAAAAAGAAAAAGAAAUAAUGAUAAAAUAAAAUAAUUAAAGACAAUAAUGCAAAUGAUAAAAAAACAGUGAAAUAAAAUAACAGUGAAGUAAAAGGAUAUUUACAGGUAGUUGCGACUGUGACUCACAUCUUCCUCUGGUUUUACGUCUAGAAACGGUUUGAACGCCCUCUAUGGGUCGAGGAUAGGCUUCCCAUCCAGUUUUCUUGUAAAUUGGCAAACAGGGUCGUUUAUAGUUAGAUUCCCAAGACUAUAUCGUGCAUGCUCUUUCUGGAAUAAUGGCCAUAAUUGGAGAAUCGCUCCUUGCACAUAUCCACUGGGAUGCGUUUCAAGAGACAAAAUGAUAUCAUCCAAUGACUCCUUAUUCAAGCCAUCCCUAAUGAAUUGAAUUUUAUCUUCCCUGUUCUUAGACACCAUUCCUAAAGAACAUGGGUUUUUAUUGCAUCUCAUUCUGGCACAUUUAUAACAAGCAACAGAAAUUCUUCGAGCUCUUCGUUUUCUUGCAUAGUUUCCUUUACCACAACCAGGCAUGUGUGCAAUAAAUUUUGGAGGUAACUCACCUGCCAAUCGUACUUUAGCCUCGAUUAACCAAUGGAUGUCAGCAGGUAUGUUAUUCCUCAUGAGCAAUCGCAUGCGUUCAGACUAAGUUUUAUAGAUUGUAAGGAGAGCAUUCUGAGGAAGUGAAGGGAAUCGAUUGUGAAACUUUGCUAGAAUAUCGUUUCUGUCCAUACCUUCGCCUCAGAAUAUCAGUUAUUUUGGAAAACUGAAGUAACCGACUUGAUUGUCAGGGAGUACUGUUAUCUGCCACUUCACCGGGGUAACAAACUAAAACACACAAACAAAGAAAAACAAACUAAAACACAUAAAGAAAAUUACAAUUGUCCUCUUAUUGAAUUUACCUUAAGCUCCAACUGGAUGUUGUAGACACUUCUCUUAAUGUCUCUGAGUUGGCUUUCUAAAUCCUCAACAUAGGAUACUAACUCUGGUGGUUGCAGAGCGCAAAUACGAUGUGUUUUACAAAAUUGAAUUUGCCUUUUGAGAUGAGAUUUUACACGUUGAAGUAGUUUAAGAAUGUCCAGGAGGAACUGUUUAGCUAUGGCACUCAUGAUUAACGAUAAUAAGAGAAAACUUAAUGGUUAAACAAACACACUUAUGCAUAAAUAAUUUCAAUUAGCAAAAGAAUAAUAAAAAGAAAGAAAGAAUGUCCAGGAGGAACUGUUUAGCUAUGGCACUCAUGAUUAACGAUAAUAAGAGAAAACUUAAUGGUUAAACAAACACACUUAUGCAUAAAUAAUUUCAAUUAGCAAAAGAAUAAUAAAAAGAAAGAAAGAGAAAAAAAAUCAAAUCACCAAAAAGAAAGAAAAAAACUCAAUUCAAAUAUGGUGGAUCACUCAAAUUUAUUUCGGUGUCCUCUCCAUGUGGUUGGUACUCUAGAUAUGGCUUUAAUCUUUAACCAUUAACUUUAAACGUGACACCGCUCUUUGGGUCCUUAAUUUCAAUUGCCCCAUGUGGAAAAACAGUAUGAAUAAUAAAGAGGCUAGACCAUCGAGAGCGUAACUUACCUAGGAAUAGGUGCAAGCGAGAAUUGAAUAAAAGCACUUUCUGACCUGGAGUGAAAGAUUUUCUCAUAAUUUACUUGUCAUGGAAGACUUUCAUUCGCUGCUUGUAAAUUUUGGCAUUUUCAUAUGCAUUAUUGCGAAUUUCUUCAAGUUUUUCCAGUUGUAAUAUUCUUUCUGAGCUAGCUUGCUGCAUGUCAAAGUUCAAUUUCUUGAUGGCCCAAUAUGCACGAUACUCGAGUUCCACAGGUAGGUGGCAAGCUUUUCCAUGCACUAGCCUGUAGGGUGACAUCCCAAUUGGGGUCUUGAAAGCCAUUCUAUAUGCCCAUAAUGCAUCAUCAAGUCUUAAUGACCAAUCUUUUUUGUCUGGCCUCGCCGUCUUUUCUAAUAAGUGCUUUAUUUCUCGAUUGGAGAUCUUAACGUGGUCACUGGUUUGCGGAUGAUAUGGGGUCGCCACUUUGUGAGUGAUUAAAUACUUUGUCAAAAGAGCUUUGCUUUGUUACAAAAGUGGGCACCACCAUCACUGAUUAUUGCUCGAGGGAAUCCAAAGCGUGAAACAAUGUUGCUUUUCAAAAAUCCUAUCACCACCUUGUGAUCAUUGGUUCUGCAUGAAAUUGCUUCUACCCAUUUUGAUACGUAGUCAACAGCAACCAAUAUGUAUUGAUGGCCAAAAGAAGGGGGAAAGGGACCCAUGAAGUCGAUAUCCCACACAUAAAAAAUCUCAACCACUAAAAUUGGAUUUAAUGGCAUCAUGUUCUUUCGUGUAAUGCUCCCCAUUCGUUGACACCUAUCACAUGAAGAACAGAAAGUGUAAGUGUCUCGAAAUAUAAUUGGCCAAUAGAAACCAUAUUGUAAAACUUUAGUCGCUGUUUUCUUAGCGCUGAAAUGGCCUCCACAAUCUUGUUCAUGGCAGAAUGAAAGGAUAUUUUGAAUUUCACUUUCUGGGACACAUCGUCUAACAAUUUGAUCUGCACAAUACUUGAACAAAUACGGGUCAUUCCAAAAGAAAUUUUUUAUUUCUGCAAAAUAUUUGGCCUUGUCUUGCUUAGUCCAAUGCUCUGGAAGUUGACCUGUAACAAGAUAAUUAACGAUAUCAGUAUACCACGGUAAUACUUCCACACUCAUCAAUUAUUCAUCUGGGAAUGACUCAUUCAAUGUUAAUGGCUCUGUAAUUGCGUCAAAAUGGAGACGAGAGAGAUGGUCAGCCAUAACAUUUUUUGUGCCUUUCUUAUCUUUAAAUUCUAAGUCGAAUUCCUACAAAAGUAACACCCAAUGAAUUAAUCUAGCUUUUGCAUCUUUCUUUGUGAGAAGAUAUUUAAGAGCAGCAUGAUCUGUUAAUAUAAUUAUUUUUCAACCAAUGAGUUAAGAUCAUAAUUUCUCUAAUGCAAACACUACUGCUAACUUUUUUUUUUCAGUAGUUGAAUAGUUCAACUGUGCAUCAUUCAAUGUCAUAUUAGUAUAGUAAAUAACACGGGGAAUUCGAUCAACUCUUUGUCCUAAUACUGCGCCUACUGCAUAAUCAGAUGCAUCACACAUGAGCUCAAAUGGUAAGCUCUAGUUUGGGGGCUGAAUGAUGGGUGAUAAUGUCAACAACUGCUUUAAUUUUUCAAAUUCCACAAGAUAUGAAUCAUCAAAGACAAAAGGUACAUCCUUAACAAGUAGAUUGUAUAAGGGUCUAGAAACUUUAUUAAAAUCUUUAAUGAAACGUCUAUAAAAACCUGCAUGUCCAAGGAAAGAUCUUACUUUUCUGAUUGUUUUGGGUGGAGGAAGAUUAGAAAUGAGAUCCACCUUGGGCAUGCUGGUUUUUAUACCUUUGCUUGAAAUGAUGUGAUCGAGAACAAUACCUUGUUUUACCAUAAAAUUUCACUUCUCCCAAUUUAAGACCAAGUUCUUGUUGAUACAUCUCUGUAGAACUAGUGUUAGAUGAUGUAAACAUUGAUCAAAUGAAUCACCAAAGAUAGAAAAGUCAUCCAUAAAGACUUCAAGGAAUCGUUCAACCAUAUCAGAAAAAAUUUUCAACAUGCAUCGUUGAAAUUUAGCAAGUGCAUUACAUAAUCCAAAUGACAUUCUCCUAUAUGCAAAAGUGCCAAAAGAGCAAGUGAAAGUAGUUUUCUCUUGAUCUUUUGGUGCUAUGGGAAUCUAAUUAUAUCCUGAGUAGCCAUUUAGAAAGCAAUAAAAUUCAUGGCCUGCUAAUCUAUCAAGCAUUUGAUCGAUAAAUGGUAAAGGAAAAUGGUCUUUACAUGUGAUAGAAUUCAAUUUUCUAUAAUCAAUGCAUACACACCAUCCUGUAGUUACUCUAGUGAGUAUCAAUUCAUUAUCGGCAUUCGUAACUACUGUGACUCGUGACUUUUUGGCGAUAACUUAUACAGAACUGACCCAUGAACUAUCAGAAAUGGGGUAAAUAAUAAAUGCAUCUAAUAGCUUAAGGACUUCAGUUCUAAGAACUUCUUUCAUGUUAGGAUUUAACCAACGUUGCAUUUCCCUAGUAGAUUUAACAUUAUCAUCAAGGUGAAUGUAAUGCAUGCAGUCUACUGGGUUUAUACCUUUUAUGUCUGCUAUGGUCCAUCUUAAUGCUCAUUUGUGCUCUUUAAAAACGUCCAAUAACUUACCUUUUUGUUCGUCAUUGAGGGAUGAUGAGAUGAUUAAUGGCAGAGUACUUUCUUCUUCAAAAAAUGCAUAUUCCAAAGUGUUGGGUAAUAGUUUGAGCUCGAGUUUUGGUGGUGAUUCUGAUGAUGGGAUGAGUUUCUUCUCUGAUGGUGCUAGUUGUUCAACUCUUGACUUCCAUUUAUUAGUGUCCUUGGAUGGUGCUGAGUGAAGUAAGGCAUUGACCUCAUCAACUGAUCUAUCAAUAUCAAAAUCAAAAUCAAAGUGAGUUAAAUAUGUUUGUAAAGGGUCAUCACUAAAGUUUGAAACAAAAAUAUUAUGAACUAAUGCUUCAAUUAAAUCCACAUCAACAAUUCCAUUAUCUGCACUAUGAGGUUGUUUGACAAUGUUGAAGAUGUUCAGCUCCAUAGUCAUUUUGCCGAAGGACAACUGCAUAUUUUCAGUCCUGCAUUGAAUAGGAGCAUCCACAGUUGCCAAGAAAGGUCGGGCUAGAAUAAUGAGGAUGUGCUUCCUUGAAUCCUGUAUUGGUUGAGUGUCAAUUACAAUGAAAUCAAUAGAAAAAUAAAACUUGUCUACCUGGAUGAGCACGUCCUCCACAAUACCACGAGGUAUUUUCGUGGACUGAUCUGUAAGUUGUAACACCACUGGAGUUGGGUGUAAUUCUCCCAGUCCAAGUUUCACAAAUACUGAGUAGGGUAACAUAUUUACACUAGCUCCUAAAUCCAACAAAGCAUUCUCAAUUGUGUGGCUCCCUAUACUACAUGAGGUAGUAGAGGAGCUUGGGUCUUUACAUUUUAGAGGAAUUUUGUGUUGGAGUAUAGAACUAACGUUUUCUAUUAAAAAUGCAUUCUUUUGAAUAUGAAUAUUUCUCUUUUUAGUACAAUGGUCUUUAAGAAACUUGACAUAAGAUAGAACUUGCUUUAUAGCAUCAAGUAAAUGGAUGUUAACACUUACCUGUUUGAAGAUUUCAAAAAUCUCACCUGUGGAUUUUCCCUUCUUUCCUUUAGCUAACCUCUGAGGAAAUAGAGCUUUGGAAACAUAUUCUCGUGGGUUGGUUUCUUUUUUCUCUUUCGAUGGUGAGUCCUCAAGUUUUACAGGUACAAUUUGAUUUUCUUUUGUCACCAGCAUCUCCACUUUGUUGUCGACUUCUUUUCGUUUUCACAAGGUCAUGACUGCUUUGACCUUUUCAUGCUGCUGUGGUGAACUGGUACUUCCUUCAUGUACUCCUUUAGAAUUAGGCAAAUUUACCUUUCUCAACAGUCAUUGCCAAGGUCUGAACUGAAGAAGCAAGUUAUCCCACCAUCUUCUCGAGGCUUGAAACUGAUUGGGCUUGUAAGUUGAAACCUACUCUCAUCUCAUUUCGCAGUUCAUCAAUGGUGCGGUUCUGUUGCUCAAUCGUAGAGUGAGUAACAUUCCUGAAAUUCUGGAAUGCAUCCUCCCAUGGUCUGGGUUGAGAAUAGUUCUGGUUCUGAUUGUAUGGUAUAAAUGGUGGCUGGGAGGCUUGAGGAAUUUGUUGCAUUAGUGGAAUUGGAGCUGCUGGUCCAUUCUGUUGGAAUCCUUGAAACCAUGAAGUAUUAGGGUGGUCUCUCCAUCCAGGGUUAUAUGUGUUGGAGUAUGGGUUGUAAUUUGAUGGUUUUCUCAUUACACCUAGGCAUUGGCUUGAUCUGAGUAUGAGUGAUGGUCAUGUGGCUCUGUUGAUUUAGCAGUCGAUAACGAUAUUAUUUGUCGAGAGAGACCUUCAAUUAUCGCUUUGACAUCUUUAAUUUAUGAACUUGACUCACCAAUGUGAAUCUCAUUUACUCCCUUAAUUCUUUUAGUGUUCCUGAGUGAUCGACUCCGUUGUUUGGAAUUAUCCGCUUGUCGCUAGAAGAAUUCCCAAAUCUCUGAUGCACUUUUUGACAUUAACUCUCCUCCACUUUUUGCCAUUAGCCAUUCUUGCACAUUCGGUAAUAAUUCCUUUCAAAAAGUAUUGACAUUGGUGCCAUUUCUCGUACCCAUGAUGUGGACACUUCAAGAGUAGCCCAUUGAAUCGCUCCCAUGUUUUGAAAAACUGCUCGUCCUCUCUCUGGGUAAACUCUGAAAUUUCCUUGCAAAUAGCAUUUGUUUUAUGUACUGGAAAAUAUUUAUUCAAAAAUUUUGUUACCAUUUGAUCCCAUGAUGUGAUGCUAUUAGCAGGCAAUGUAUUGAGUCAUGAACGAGCUCUAUCCUUUAAAGAAAAUGGAAAUAGUCUAAGUUUAACAUCAUCAUUUGAAAAAUUCUCAUAUUUAAAUGUUUGACAAACAGUAUGAAAAUCAUUCAAAUGAUUAUAUGGGUCCUCAUUUUCUAGGCCAUAGAAUGUUGGGAGACAAUUUAGCACACUAGGUUUUAACUCAAAACUCCUAGCAGCUACAUUUGGGUAUCUUAUGCAUAAUAUACUCAAAUUAGCUAAGGGAUUAAAGUAGUCCUUAAAUGGCCUCUCCUGUGGUGGUGAUUGUUGUUGCAAAUCCAUUUUAUUUUUAACGUGUUUGUGUGUUUGCAGUGUUUUCUCAAGUUUAAUGUUUAUAGGCUUAAGAUUAGGUAAUAAUGACUUUCGACCAUGCAUGCAAAACAAAUAAAAUAAAAAUAAAGAUGGGAACAAAACAAAUAAAAAUAAAGAAGAGGGAGAAAUUACGAUAGUAACCUUAUUGCGCUAUUACAACCUUACUAUAAAAACACACUAAAAAAAAUGCGUGAAAUAAAUUAACUAAAAAUAAAUUAAUAAAAUAAAAAAAAUUACAAAGAAAAAUAACUUAAAAAUUAAAUUGCAGAAUUGUAAAGAAUAGAGAAAGAAAAGAAAUUAUUACCUCUAAAUGCAGAUUCAUUUUUUUCUUUUUUUUAAUAAGAAAAAAAUACAAGAAAACAAAUAAAAGAAAUUAUUCACAAAAUUAAUUAUACGAAUUAAAAUAACUUACCUCCCCGGCAACGGCGACGAAAACUUGUUGUAUAAAUUUUAUUGAACUCGCAAGUGCAUGAAUAUAUUGUAGAAUAGAUUAAUGGUGACGAGUGUCGAUCCCAUGAUGAGGUGAAUUUUAAUUAUAUGUAGAAUUAAUUUUGUAUGAGGGUGGUUUAAAUUAUCUUAAAAUUUGAAUUAAAAUGGCGAGAAUAAAUUGAAGAGAAAACUAUUAUGAUUGAAGCGCUUUGGUAUUUAGAUCCGCAUCAACAUGCACCCUGGGCUAAAUAUUCCUUAUUAGUGCCAAUUAAAUCAUGAGGGGGGAAACCACACCUCAUGAACCACACUCUAAUCAAUAUGGUGCUUGUUGUGCAAAUUUUAAUGUACUCGCAAGCGCACGAAUCUAUUGUAGUAUAGACUAAUGGUGACGAGUGUCGAUCCCACGAGGAGGUGGAUUUUAAUUAUAUAUAGAAUUAAUUUUGUAAAUGGGUAGUUGGAUUUAUGGUGGAAAUGAUUUGGAAUAUGCUAAUACUUAAAUUAAAAUGGCGAGAAUAAAUUCUAAAAUUGGAAUUGCAAUGGAGAGAAUAAAUUGAAGAGAAAAUCUAUUAAAUUGACGUACUUGGGUAUCUGGAUCCGUAUCAACAUGCAUCAUGGGCUAAAUAAUCCGUAUUAAUGCCAAUUAAAUCAUGAGGGGGGAAUCCACACCUCAUGAACCACGCUCUAAUCAAUAUGGUGCUAAGGGCUUAUCGUGCCAAAUAAUAAUAACCUUAUACUAGAGAGCCGGUGUAACCAAGGCGGUAUCUAGACAAGAUUAGUAUUAUUUGUCGACGAGAAGUCAAAACAUCCACAAAAAUUAGAGGGGAAGAGAAAGUAAAUUUACCAAAUUAAGCCCAUGACACAUGUUGAGACUUCACCUUCAACCCAAGCUUGAAAGAAAAUUAGCCACUCAUAAUUGAACUAGGGGCAAAAUGGGAAUUUAUUAAAAUACGAAGAAAAUACAAGAUGGAGAAGGAAUUACAGAAAAUGGAUCCCAAAAAUGGAUUCAGAGAUAUCAAAUUAGGGGGGGGGAGGCCCCCUUUUUAUAGAUACAUGGAGUAAAUCAUGGCCAUCGGAUUAAAAACAGUUUGGACGCUCAGGAUUGCGCCACGUCAUCAGUCAACAGUCCACGGUUUGACCACGCGGAUGAACAGUAACACGGUUUGACCCGGAUGAACAGUAACGCGGUUUGGUUGAAAAUAAUCCUGUGUGAUGCAUGCACCGUACGCGAGAUUUUUCGUCCACUGAUAUGCUGCCACGUCACCAUCAACAGUACAUAAGAAUUUUAGUCCAACAGGAUCGUGACACCUCAUCAGUCAAUGCCACAUCAUCGGUCAAUGCCACAUCAUCAUCCGUCUAUGUGAACAGUGUCGUGAACAGUAACGUAUACAGUACCGUACACGUGAAUAGUACCGUACAUGUGAAUAGUGCCAUUUUUCCUUUUAUGCUCCUCCUAAGGUUUUCGACCGUCCUGAGUUCAAAAGUGAUGUCU